UGUUUACCGAUAACAACAUGAUAAGGC
This 27-nucleotide non-coding RNA is filed under the name Drosophila melanogaster (fruit fly). Lineage: Eukaryota; Metazoa; Arthropoda; Insecta; Diptera; Drosophilidae. The record is from RNAcentral.